Molecule: ribosomal RNA, 351 nt
Filed under: Triticum aestivum (bread wheat)
Lineage: Eukaryota; Viridiplantae; Streptophyta; Magnoliopsida; Poales; Poaceae
Description: partial small subunit ribosomal RNA
Source: RNAcentral
AUGGUGGAGGAACCGUCCGCCAAGCGUCAUCAUGCCGAGACGUCGGACAAGAGGAGCAACCUCGUCGACAUUAACGUCCCCGGCGAGAGGCGCGAGUACACAACAACCCUCAAAGGGGUUGAGCUCCACGACAACGAGACGCUAGAGAUCGUCUGCACCAGCGUACCAGAAAAGGCCGACGAGGUUGUCUCCAGGCUCUGGAUGAAGCUUGGCAGCAGGUUUCGUAGGAUCGUCGGUGUUGGUGUGCACUACACCAACGAAGAUAAACCUCCCCAGAUGGCAGCAGUCCUGCAGUUGUGCGACGACGAACUCUGCUUGGUGUACCACAUCGCAGCGGCCACAAAAUGGUGA